GGCGUGCCUAAUACAUGCAAGUCGAGCGAACAGAUAAGGAGCUUGCUCCUUUGACGUUAGCGGCGGACGGGUGAGUAACACGUGGAUAACCUACCUAUAAGACUGGGAUAACUUCGGGAAACCGGAGCUAAUACCGGAUAACAUAUUGAACCGCAUGGUUCAAUAGUGAAAGGCGGCUUUGCUGUCACUUAUAGAUGGAUCCGCGCCGUAUUAGCUAGUUGGUAAGGUAACGGCUUACCAAGGCAACGAUACGUAGCCGACCUGAGAGGGUGAUCGGCCACACUGGAACUGAGACACGGUCCAGACUCCUACGGGAGGCAGCAGUAGGGAAUCUUCCGCAAUGGGCGAAAGCCUGACGGAGCAACGCCGCGUGAGUGAUGAAGGUCUUCGGAUCGUAAAACUCUGUUAUCAGGGAAGAACAAAUGUGUAAGUAACUGUGCACAUCUUGACGGUACCUGAUCAGAAAGCCACGGCUAACUACGUGCCAGCAGCCGCGGUAAUACGUAGGUGGCAAGCGUUAUCCGGAAUUAUUGGGCGUAAAGCGCGCGUAGGCGGUUUUUUAAGUCUGAUGUGAAAGCCCACGGCUCAACCGUGGAGGGUCAUUGGAAACUGGAAAACUUGAGUGCAGAAGAGGAAAGUGGAAUUCCAUGUGUAGCGGUGAAAUGCGCAGAGAUAUGGAGGAACACCAGUGGCGAAGGCGA
Molecule: ribosomal RNA, 701 nt
Filed under: Staphylococcus pasteuri
Lineage: Bacteria; Bacillati; Bacillota; Bacilli; Caryophanales; Staphylococcaceae
Description: bacterial SSU rRNA
Rfam family: Bacterial small subunit ribosomal RNA
Source: RNAcentral